CCUACGGGAGGCAGCAGUGAGGAAUAUUGGUCAAUGGACGAGAGUCUGAACCAGCCAAGUAGCGUGCAGGAUGACUGCCCUAUGGGUUGUAAACUUCUUUUAUAUGGGAAUAAAAUGUUCCACGUGUGGGAUUUUGUAUGUACCAUAUGAAUAAGGAUCGGCUAACUCCGUGCCAGCAGCCGCGGUAAUACGGAGGAUCCGAGCGUUAUCCGGAUUUAUUGGGUUUAAAGGGAGCGUAGGUGGAUUAUUAAGUCAGUUGUGAAAGUUUGCGGCUCAACCGUAAAAUUGCAGUUGAAACUGGCAGGCUUGAGUACAGGAGAGGUGGGCGGAAUUCGUGGUGUAGCGGUGAAAUGCUUAGAUAUCACGAAGAACUCCGAUUGCGAAGGCAGUUCACGGGACUGCAACUGACACUGAGGCUCGAAGGUGUGGGUAUCGAACAGGAUUAGAUACCCCGGUAGUC
RNAcentral lists this ribosomal RNA (460 nucleotides) under uncultured bacterium. RNAcentral's name for it is "partial 16S ribosomal RNA". It matches the Rfam family "Bacterial small subunit ribosomal RNA", at positions 338 to 795 of the family's 1533-position model. The record is from RNAcentral.